This 508-nucleotide ribosomal RNA is filed under the name uncultured bacterium. RNAcentral's name for it is "partial 16S ribosomal RNA". It matches the Rfam family "Bacterial small subunit ribosomal RNA", at positions 28 to 523 of the family's 1533-position model. The record is from RNAcentral.
GAUGAACGCUAGCUACAGGCUUAACACAUGCAAGUCGAGGGGAAACGAUAUUUGAAGCUUGCUUCCGAUAGGCGUCGACCGGCGCACGGGUGAGUAACGCGUAUCCAACCUGCCCACCACUUGGGGAUAACCGUGCGAAAGUAAGACUAAUACCCAAUGAUAUCUCUAGAAGACAUCUGAAAGGGAUUAAAGAUUUAUCGGGGAUGGAUGGGGAUGCGUCUGAUUAGCUUGUUGGCGGGGUAACGGCCCACCAAGGCUACGAUCAGUAGGGGUUCUGAGAGGAAGGUCCCCCACAUUGGAACUGAGACACGGUCCAAACUCCUACGGGAGGCAGCAGUGAGGAAUAUUGGUCAAUGGGCGAGAGCCUGAACCAGCCAAGUAGCGUGCAGGAUGACGGCCCUAUGGGUUGUAAACUGCUUUUAUAAGGGAAUAAAGUGAGUCUCGUGAGACUUUUUGCAUGUACCUUAUGAAUAAGGACCGGCUAAUUCCGUGCCAGCCGCCGCAGUAA